GGUUGUGAGGGUGGUCUGGCUGCAACAUCUGUCAUGCGGUUAAUUGCCUGGGUUGAUUCAGCUGAACUGGUUGGCUGGGUGGGUUUCCCUCUCACUGCUUCAUGUGCGUCCCUCCUGAAGCUGUAUGCUUGGUUGAAGAGGAUGACCUUUCCCAAUAGAGAAGAACCAUUUAUCAGUCAAGGGUAUAUGAGUAUCUGUGCUCCCCUGCUAGCACCUCCAAACAAGCUCUCAAGGUCCAUUUGUAGGAAAAUGUAGGGUAGUCAAGCUUCCAAGACUCUAGACACAUCCAAAUUAAGUGCUGCAUGUGGCAGUCUGCCUUUUU
Molecule: unclassified non-coding RNA, 322 nt
Organism: Ursus americanus (American black bear)
Lineage: Eukaryota; Metazoa; Chordata; Mammalia; Carnivora; Ursidae
Gene: 7SK
Rfam family: 7SK RNA
About the family: 7SK was discovered as an abundant small nuclear RNA in the mid-70s but a possible function has only recently been suggested. Two independent studies have found that 7SK RNA binds the CDK9/cyclin T complex (known as elongation factor P-TEFb).
Source: Ensembl